This 447-nucleotide ribosomal RNA is filed under the name uncultured bacterium. Its description in RNAcentral is "partial 16S ribosomal RNA". It matches the Rfam family "Bacterial small subunit ribosomal RNA", at positions 29 to 523 of the family's 1533-position model. The record is from RNAcentral.
AACGAACGCUGGCGGCAGGCUUAACACAUGCAAGUCGAACGCUCCGCAAGGAGAGUGGCAGACGGGUGAGUAACACGUGGGAACGUACCCUUUACUACGGAACAACUCCGGGAAACUGGAGCUAAUACCGCAUGUGCCCUUUGGGGGAAAGAUGUAUCGGUAAAGGAUCGGCCCGCGUUGGAUUAGCUAGUUGGUGGGGUGAAGGCCUACCAAGGCGACGAUCCAUAGCUGGUCUGAGAGGAUGAUCAGCCACAUUGGGACGGAGACACGGCCCAAACACCUACGGGAGGCAGCAGUGGGGAAUAUUGGAUAAGGGGCGCAAGCAGGUUCCAGCAAUCCGGCGUGUGUGAUGAAGGCCUUAGGGUUGUAAAGCACUAUCACCGGAGAAGAUAAUGGCGGUAUCCGGGGAAGAAGCCCCGGCUAACUGCGUGCCAGCCGCCGCGGUAA